This 253-nucleotide ribosomal RNA is filed under the name uncultured bacterium. RNAcentral describes it as "partial 16S ribosomal RNA". It matches the Rfam family "Bacterial small subunit ribosomal RNA", at positions 524 to 776 of the family's 1533-position model. The record is from RNAcentral.
UACGUAGGUGGCGAGCGUUAUUCGGAUUUACUGGGCGUAAAGGGUCCGUAGGGGGAUUUUUAAGUUUGGUGUGAAAUUUACAGGCUCAACCUGUAACCUGCACUGAAAACUGGAAAUCUAGAGUACAUGAGAGGUAAGUGGAAUUUGUGGUGUAGCGGUGGAAUGCGUAGAUAUCACAAGGAACACCAAAGGCGAAAGCAGCUUACUGGCAUGAUACUGACCCUGAGGGACGAGAGCUAGGGUAGCGAAAAGG